GUGAGGAAUAUUGGUCAAUGGGCGGGAGCCUGAACCAGCCAAGUCGCGUGAAGGAAGAAGGAUCUAUGGUUCGUAAACUUCUUUUGCAGGGGAAUAAAGUGCGGGACGUGUCCUGUUUUGUAUGUACCCUGAGAAUAAGGAUCGGCUAACUCCGUGCCAGCAGCCGCGGUAAUACGGAGGAUCCGAGCGUUAUCCGGAUUUAUUGGGUUUAAAGGGUGCGUAGGUGGAUUGAUAAGUCAGCGGUGAAAGGUUGCAGCUUAACUGUAAAAAUGCCGUUGAAACUGUCGGACUUGAGUGUAAAUGAGGUAGGCGGAAUGCGUGGUGUAGCGGUGAAAUGCAUAGAUAUCACGCAGAACUCCGAUUGCGAAGGCAGCUUACUAAGCUACAACUGACACUGAAGCACGAAAGCGUGGGGAUCAAACAGGAUUAGAUACCCGGGUAGUCC
This 445-nucleotide ribosomal RNA is filed under the name uncultured bacterium. RNAcentral's name for it is "partial 16S ribosomal RNA". It matches the Rfam family "Bacterial small subunit ribosomal RNA", at positions 354 to 796 of the family's 1533-position model. The record is from RNAcentral.